RNAcentral lists this ribosomal RNA (1235 nucleotides) under metagenome. Its description in RNAcentral is "bacterial LSU rRNA". It matches the Rfam family "Bacterial large subunit ribosomal RNA", at positions 1564 to 2808 of the family's 2925-position model. The record is from RNAcentral.
UGAAUACGAGACGCUAAGGCGUCGAAGUAGUGUAUGUCAUACUUCCAAGAAAAGCUUGCACUGUCAUAGAUAAAAAACGCCUGUACCAUAACCGACACAGGUGGGUAGGUAGAGUAUACUAAGGGGCGCGAGAUAACUCUCUCUAAGGAACUCGGCAAAAUGACUCCGUAACUUCGGGAGAAGGAGUGCCUUAUUCUUAAGGUUGCAAUAACAAGAUCCAAGCAACUGUUUAUCAAAAACACAGGUCUCCGCUAAGUCGUAAGACGAUGUAUGGGGGCUGACGCCUGCCCAGUGCCAGAAGGUUAAAGAAGUUGGUUAGCAUUUGCGAAGCUGAUAACUGAAGCCCUGGUGAACGGCGGCCGUAACAAUAACGGUCCUAAGGUAGCGAAAUUCCUUGUCGGGUAAGUUCCGACCCGCACGAAAGGCGUAAUGAUUUGGAUACUGUCUCGGAGAGGGGCUCGGUGAAAUAGACUUGUCUGUGAAGAUGCGGACUACCUGCACCAGGACAGAAAGACCCUAUGAAGCUUUACUGUAACUUGAAAUUGAAAUUGGACUUUAUUCGCGCAGUAUAGGUGGGAGGCGUUGAUUAUAAUCUUGCGGGAUUAUUGGAGCCAUCAGUGAGAUACCACCCUUGUAAUGUUAGAUUUCUAACUUUGAAUCAUUAUCUGGUCAAAGAACAGUUUCAGGCGGGCAGUUUGACUGGGGCGGUCGCCUCCUAAACGGUAGCGGAGGCGUACAAAGGUUUCCUCUGAACGGUUAGAAAUCGUAUCUAGAGUGUAAAGGCAUAAGGAAGCUUGACUGUGAGACCUACAAGUCGAGCAGGGACGAAAGUCGGUCUUAGUGAUCUGACGGUACUGAGUGGAAAGGCCGUCACUCAACGGAUAAAAGUUACUCUAAGGAUAACAGGCUGAUCUCCCCCAAGAGUUCACAUCGACGGGGAGGUUUGGCACCUCGAUGUCGGCUCAUCGCAUCCUGGGGCGGUAGUACGUCCCAAGGGUUGGGCUGUUCGCCCAUGAAAGCGGUACGCGAGCUGGGUUCAGAACGUCGUGAGACAGUUCGGUCCAUAUCCGGUGUAGGCGUUAGAAUAUUGAGAGGAGCCUUCUUUAGUACGAGAGGACCGAGAAGGACAUACCUCUGGUGUACCAGUUAUCGUGCCAACGGUAAACGCUGGGUAGCUAUGUAUGGAGUGGAUAACCGCUGAAAGCAUCUAAAUGGGAAGCCCACCUCAAGAUAAG